Molecule: ribosomal RNA, 808 nt
Filed under: uncultured bacterium
Lineage: Bacteria
Description: bacterial SSU rRNA
Rfam family: Bacterial small subunit ribosomal RNA
Source: RNAcentral
UCGAGGGGUACAGGGUAGCAAUACCGCUGACGACCGGCGCACGGGUGAGUAACGCGUAUCUAAUCUACCUGUAACUCGGGGAUAGCCUUUUGAAAGAAAGAUUAAUACCCGGUAAUACUGAGCGUGAGCAUUCAUAUUCAGUUAAAGAUUUAUCGGUUACAGAUGAGGAUGCGUCCCAUUAGAUAGUUGGUAGGGUAACGGCCUACCAAGUCAGCGAUGGGUAGGGGUUCUGAGAGGAAGGUCCCCCACAUUGGAACUGAGACACGGUCCAAACUCCUACGGGAGGCAGCAGUGAGGAAUAUUGGUCAAUGGGCGAAAGCCUGAACCAGCCAAGUCGCGUGAAGGAUGACUGCCCUAUGGGUUGUAAACUUCUUUUUUAGGGGAAUAAAGUGAGUCACGUGUGACUUUUUGUAUGUACCCUACGAAUAAGCAUCGGCUAACUCCGUGCCAGCAGCCGCGGUAAUACGGAGGAUGCGAGCGUUAUCCGGAUUUAUUGGGUUUAAAGGGUGCGUAGGCCGACUUUUAAGUCAGCGGUGAAAUUUUCCGGCUUAACCGGGACAUUGCCGUUGAAACUGAUAGUCUUGAGUGUAAAUGAGGUAGGCGGAAUGUGUAGUGUAGCGGUGAAAUGCUUAGAUAUUACACAGAACUCCGAUUGCGAAGGCAGCUUACUGGCAUACAACUGACGCUGAGGCACGAAAGUGUGGGUAUCAAACAGGAUUAGAUACCCUGGUAGUCCACACAGUAAACGAUGAUAACUAGCCGUUGGCGAUACACAGUCAGUGGCAGAGCGAAAGCAUUAAGUUAUCCA